This 386-nucleotide long non-coding RNA is filed under the name Apteryx owenii (little spotted kiwi). RNAcentral's name for it is "lncRNA (ENSAOWG00000004499.1)". The record is from RNAcentral. Lineage: Eukaryota; Metazoa; Chordata; Aves; Apterygiformes; Apterygidae.
AAACAGUUUGGACCAGGGUUCCUCUGUUUAUCACCUAACAGUCGUUGGUUGGCAUCAGCAGCAGAGGAUGGGGUUUUGUUCAUCUAUCAUACUUUUACUAUGGAUGUACUUGCUCAAAAGCAUUGUCACUCAUAUCAAGGAGGGGGAAUCAGAUCCAUGGUAUUUUCACUGGAUGGCCAAUUCAUGCUCGUUAAUGGCGUAAAUGAUGGUGCCCUGGUGUGUCUGAAAUGGAAGAAGCAUCUGAAUCUUCCAAUAUAGAACUGACAGAAGAAGACAGCAGCUUCACCGGAUUGAAUUCAGCCAUUACUAGUGAAAUGACAUGGAUAGAUCAGAAAAUGAAGAAGGUACUUUCAUAUAACAAACAUUAAUCAAGGCCAGCCUUUUCA